GCUUCGGUAGUGUAACGGAAAGCACGGCAGACCGGAUAUCUGUAAGUGCGGGUACGAGUCCCGCCUGAGGUU
This is a non-coding RNA of Dictyocaulus viviparus (bovine lungworm), 72 nucleotides long. The record is from Rfam. Lineage: Eukaryota; Metazoa; Nematoda; Chromadorea; Rhabditida; Metastrongylidae.